ACGUCUUUGUGUUGUUUGCUGAUUGAUUUACCAAGAUCAGUGAUUGUCAAACAGGACGUAAAUAAAUUCUAAAGCCUCGUUAUAGUCUUAAAACAGCUUUUUCGGCGCUAAGACUUCUCCAUACUUUAGAAACAGUA
This is a small nucleolar RNA of Ceratitis capitata (Mediterranean fruit fly), 137 nucleotides long. RefSeq annotates it as small nucleolar RNA psi18S-1377. The record is from RefSeq and is a predicted model, not a curated record. NCBI's taxonomy places the organism in Eukaryota, Metazoa, Arthropoda, Insecta, Diptera, Tephritidae. The transcript has a single exon.